RNAcentral lists this ribosomal RNA (556 nucleotides) under aquatic bacterium RUB_R2A_56. RNAcentral describes it as "bacterial SSU rRNA". It matches the Rfam family "Bacterial small subunit ribosomal RNA", at positions 338 to 918 of the family's 1533-position model. Lineage: Bacteria; Pseudomonadati; Pseudomonadota; Alphaproteobacteria; Sphingomonadales; Sphingomonadaceae. The record is from RNAcentral.
CCUACGGGAGGCAGCAGUGGGGAAUAUUGGACAAUGGGCGAAAGCUGAUCCAGCAAUGCCGCGUGAGUGAUGAAGGCCUUAGGGUUGUAAAGCUCUUUUACCAGGGAUGAUAAUGACAGUACCUGGAGAAUAAGCUCCGGCUAACUCCGUGCCAGCAGCCGCGGUAAUACGGAGGGAGCUAGCGUUGUUCGGAAUUACUGGGCGUAAAGCGUACGUAGGCGGUUAUUCAAGUCAGGGUGAAAGCCUGGAGCUCAACUCCAGAACUGCCYUUGAAACUAGAUAACUAGAAUCUUGGAGAGGUGAGUGGAUUCCGAGUGUAGAGGUGAAAUUCGUAGAUAUUCGGAAGAACACCAGUGGCGAAGGCGACUCACUGGACAAGUAUUGACGCUGAGGUACGAAAGCGUGGGGAGCAAACAGGAUUAGAUACCCUGGUAGUCCACGCCGUAAACGAUGAUAACUAGCUGUUCGGSUCUACGAGCUUGAGUGGCGCASUAACGCAUUAAGUUAUCCGCCUGGGAGUACGGUCGCAAGAUUAAACUCAAAGGAAUUGACGGGG